This 503-nucleotide ribosomal RNA is filed under the name uncultured bacterium. RNAcentral's name for it is "partial 16S ribosomal RNA". It matches the Rfam family "Bacterial small subunit ribosomal RNA", at positions 30 to 523 of the family's 1533-position model. The record is from RNAcentral.
AUUGAACGCUGGCGGCAGGCUUAACACAUGCAAGUCGAGCGGGGUGAUGGUGCUUGCACUAUCACUUAGCGGCGGACGGGUGAGUAAUGCUUAGGAAUCUGCCUAUUAGUGGGGGACAACAUCUCGAAAGGGAUGCUAAUACCGCAUACGUCCUACGGGAGAAAGCAGGGGAUCACUUGUGACCUUGCGCUAAUAGAUGAGCCUAAGUCGGAUUUGCUAGUUGGGGGGGUAAAGGCCUACCAAGGCGACGAUCGGUGGCGGGUCGGAGAGACGAACCAGCCCAACUUGGCCUGAGACACGGCCCAGACUCCGACGGGAGGCAGCAGUGGGGAAUAUUGGACAAUGGGGGGAACCCUGAUCCAGCCAUGCCGCGUGUGUGAAGAAGGCCUUAUGGUUGUAAAGCACUUUAAGCGAGGAGGAGGCUCUUUUGGUUAAUACCCAAGAUGAGUGGACGUUACUCGCAGAAUAAGCACCGGCUAACUCUGUGCCAGCAGCCGCCGUAA